RNAcentral lists this unclassified non-coding RNA (3168 nucleotides) under Leishmania donovani. RNAcentral describes it as "gene:LdHU3.16.0840(CDS-product:LysM_domain_contai ning_protein_putative)". Lineage: Eukaryota; Euglenozoa; Kinetoplastea; Trypanosomatida; Trypanosomatidae. The record is from RNAcentral.
AACGUCACCUUGUGCGGACGCCAACGAUGAGAAUAGCAGGAGAACAUCCACACUCACGCACACAUACAGGCAAGCAAAGGCCAGUGGCGGUUUUGUAAGCGAGUUGCCUCAUCCAACGUUCACGGAACACGCCCCCCCCCCUCCCCCAAGUACGCCUCCGUCUCUCUCUCUCUGCUGGUGUGCGUGCGUCCGUGACCUCGAGACACGUGCGCUUCGAGCCGCCGGCCUCUACGCGCCAUCACAGGCACCUCAGGUGUACUCGUACCCACGUGCGCAUCAGCUCUAGCACGCACAUCCAUCAUAGAUAGUUUACUUUCCCUUCAGUUGAGGUUAAAUCGGCACAGGGCACGUACGCAGACGUGUAGGUGUAUACGCACAUCCCCUCCCCUCCCUAACCAUCUCGUGCCCUUCCUCCUUCCGUAGCUUCUCUCUGCCGCCUUACAACAGCAGGGAAAGGUGUGCCGGCCGAGCAAUGGAGGGACUUAAGAGGCAGGUUGAGCUGCUGUACGCAGCGCUACAGCCACUGGAUGUGGAUCACAGCUGCCAUCGCCAUGAACAGCCAACAACCCUUCCCGACGAGGCGGUGUCGGAACUGCAGGUAGCGCUUGCCCGCGCAACGGCGCUGGCUCACUGGGCCACCGCUGUGCAACGAGAGCAGUUGCUGCAGCAACGUCCGAGUGGCGGCAGUGGCGCACCAAGUCUGCAGUGUGGUGCCUCAGCUCAACAGCAGACGCUUGGCAGCGUCGCUGAACUGUUUAAGGUGUCUAUCGCUGACAUCCGCCAGUGGAACCCGCAACUACCGUUCGCGCUUCGCGAGGACGACGUGCUGCCGCCCGAUACGUACCUCAAGGUGCGACCUGCGGCGCCCCCGGUCUCGCCGCCGCGACCGUCGUCGACGUCGACGCCGGCGUCGCGCUUAAGGCUAGUUGCCGGCUCUACAGGGUCGUCGGGAGUCGCGGUGAGCGGCCAUACCUCGGCGAAGACGCAGGGGACUGACGCAGGGCAUGGCCACGGCGUUGCAGCUCGCCGGCACAACUCCGCAGCCAGUAGCACUCGGAGCAGUUGCUCGAGCAGGACUGCUGGUGGUGCAGGCACCUCCAUCACUGGAGUCUGCAGCGGCGUCUUUCCCUGUGGCAGCGAAGGCGGCGCGAGCCAAGGGCGAUACAGCGCCUGGACUGCGGACAGCGGACGUGGCUCGAGCCGGUCUCCUCAAGUUCCGGAGCUGUCGAUGCCAAACAGUUGCGCCAACGCCGCUCCGCCCUCCUGCGCCCCGGAACCAGUCAUGAUGUCGGUGUGCAGCAACUCAUGCUCCCCGCCAGACAGGUACUAUCUGAUCGACUUGAAGGAGGACGUGAUGGAGUCGUCACCAACUCCGAAGAGCGAUGCGAGUGCGAACGGCAAGGCCCGCUGCAGCUGCAGCGCCCCCAAAGACUCUACUCCGUCACCGCCUGUGCCUUCCCUAGCGCCGCCCCCGCUGUUCCCGGGUGCGGCCACUUUGCCAGCAGCAGCGGCCGCGGGGGCGACGCCGUGGCACGACAGCUUUCCUCGGCAAGACUUCAUUGAUGACGGCAGCUCCGUUACCAGUGUACAAGAGCUCUGCACGCGUGGCCACUCCCGUUUCUCUCCUUGCAGCCCAAUCGGGGGGAUGCCGACGGUCUCUGCUGUCACGUCGAAAGGGCGCCACUCUGACAUCGGUCCGAUGGCGCCGCCUGGCGCGAGCUCCACAGCUUCCCAGAUUAGACCGCCCUCGUCCCUGGCAGAUGGUGAGAGUGAUGGGAGGGAGCCGAGAAGGCGCACUGCCGGGUCUGCUGCAGCAGUGUCUGCAGUGCCGCCUCGGGAGGCGAAGGGAGGAGCACGGGCGUUGGCGCUGCCAUCGCCGGCGCGGGAGACAAGCGCAUCGCUCUCGGCCGUCUCGCCGCCCUCUUCGCUCGGGGCGGAUGGACGGAGCAACAGCGCCCACAGCCGCAUGCGCGCCGGCGGCGCGGCGGGGGAGGGAGAGCUGUGUGGCGCAGAGGUGCCCCGGCACCAGUGGCUCUCACCAAUGCAGCAUCGCCAGCGAGCAUCGGCGUUGUCACCGUCCCUCGCUGCCCCGUCGGACACUUCGUCGUGCUCGCCGGUGGCGAAGGAACAGUGCCCACCAUCAGCCACCACAGCAUCGAAGGCCGCGGUGAACAGUGGCGACAUCCACAGUCCGAGUGACUUCCUGACCCCCGUUCAGCACCGAGGCUGUCGUGGCCCGCAGCGCACGGCUGACAAAGCCUUUUCGAGCACCGGCCGCUCCGACAUGGAGGGCAGCCCUGCCAGCGCCUCGUGCUCCUUCCCUGGAGGCCACUCGGGGAUCGAGGCUGAGGCGAGUGAGUCACCAAGGAGCGACACAGAAGACUACAUGGAGGACGAGGAGGAGAGGACCCCCUCUAUGCGUCCGCCGGCCAUGCUAGGAUGUCACGUCAGCAGUCCCCCACCGAACCUCAGCCGCUUCCAGCAGAGCGCCUGCGCCGGAGCUCGCCUCUCCACCGCUCCGCCUCGCCUCUUCACGGCUCCGCCUCGCCGCGCAGUCGAGUCCUCACAGCAGCUGCGGCAGAAGCCAGGAGUUGAGAUGGACGCAUCGCCGUCCCCGCCGUCGCUGGCUGCUCCGUCUAUUCUGGAGCCGCCACAGCAACGGCUGCAGGAGUGGAGUGAGUUGGACGACCCCCUCGAGGGGUCGCAGCUGGCGGGCGGGGAGGACUACGACACGCUCGAGGGCAUCGCCGCAGCGUACAACCUAACGGUCUCCACUAUCAUCGAGUGGAACCCGUACCUGAAGAAGUACCGGCCAAGUGAGCCGCUCCCGCCAGACCUGCCCAUUGUCCUGCCCAUGUCGAGCGAGGACGAGGAAGAUGGCGAGGAGACGAACAACUUCGUGCGCGAGGCGGACUCUGGGCUGCUGCGGAGGCCGCGACCCAGGCUUGGGAAUCACACGCCGGGCGGAUACUCCCCGUCCGGCGCUUUAGACAAUUCGCCAACACCGCUGCGACCGCUGUAAGAGGCCCUGCGAACACCGCGCUUGUGCCCCUUCGGCCCCUGUUCCUUUACAUCUUUUCUGUGCAUCGUAGCGGCGCUGUCGACGGCAGCCCCGUCGGCGGCGGCCGGUGAUGGGCGCUGUUUGGCUUGCACGCUUUUCUUCUCCAU